This 1491-nucleotide long non-coding RNA is filed under the name Marmota monax (woodchuck). The record is from RNAcentral. Lineage: Eukaryota; Metazoa; Chordata; Mammalia; Rodentia; Sciuridae.
GUUCGCCCUCUGCCCCGAAUUUUGGGUAUGUUAAGUGGAAAGAUGUCCUUUCCGGACAAUGGUAUGGGCCUGAUCCCGUGCUGGCAUGGGCACGAGGUUCUGUUUGUGUUUUCCCACAGGACCGAACGGAGCCGGUGUGGAUCCCUGAACGGCUAACGAGAAAAGUCUCGAAGACAACUGACCAACAACGGGGGACCCUACGAGAGUCCAAUGAUGAGACCCUUCAUUCUGCUGAGUAUCCUGGCCCUGUCACAGACGAUGAUGGUCCAGAUGUUACCAAUGCAGUGGUGGGCGGUAGCUCGGACAUGGCCGAUGCCGAUGCCGGUCCAUAAAAAUUCUAGUGUCCUCCCCACUCUUUUUUCUACUUCAUGUGAGAUGUCUGCCCCUUGUGUCUCCCCUAGAGGAGACGGGGAACAGGUUUUCAACCUUUCUCGUGUUAAUCUCACGGGAACUUUCUGCUUCAGUUUCUUGAGAACCCGUUGUAUUCGCUUACAGCGCAACAAUUUGACCAAUUGGGAGGACCCCUUACAGAACAGUAGGGUUUCACUGGGAAUCUUGUUUGCGGCGCUUAGCCAAGUGAGUGCGGGGAUGAAGGAGGGCUCAGGAGAGACUACAAAUUCGACCGAAAUGAAUAUCACCACUUUGGCUAUAACUUCCCAGGUGUCACUCCCAGUGGCUUUUUCUAACGCUAGUAAUGCCACUUAUUUUAAGGCCUCUCCUUAUUGUACCCCGUACUAUUCUUUCCCCCUGACAUUCACGCCUUGUCAAGAUCAUUCUUGGGAGAAGCGCCAAGUUGCUGUGGGUUUCUCUCUUUCCCCUUCUCUUAAAAGGUAUUUGUAUAACUCUUCCAAGGCUAAUUCCACUACAGGAACAGGCUGGUCUUGGUUUCAAUGGUUGAUUUCCAAUGAAAAGGGGGCCACAGCCGAUGUCUCUGCUCUGACUCAAUUGAGAGGAGUCCAGAGUUGGCUGUUUAAUGUGUCUGGCUCUGUACAGGACACUGUUAAUGGUAGGAGGCUUAAAAACAUUUCAUACAAUUCUCAGGUGUCCAAUGCUACACUGCCCCCUGCAGCAAUCUGUCUUCAUUCUCCGUUUCUGUUCCUUUUGAUCAGUGAUACCAAUACUACAGAAUCGGAUAUGAUUGACUGUUCUAAUUGUACAUGUGUCUUGUCUGAGUGUUGGAAUGGAUCCUGGAGCACGGCAGUUGUUAUGAAGGUCCCGACAUUCGUCCCGAUUCCGGUUACUGCGGAUCCGGACUCCUUCCCUAUUAUUGAGGUGCUCAGGAGCCGUAGGGAUUUUGGAAUCACCGCAGCUAUUGUGACAGCGGUUGCCGUGUCUGUUGCUGCAGCGGUCACUGCCGGAGUGGCCAUGGCUAGUCAAGUGCAGACUGCGGCCACGGUUAAUCAGGUCAUCCAACAAACUUCCAGCAUUUUAGAGUCUCAAAGUAAAAUCAAUCAACAUAUUUUAUCAGGAAUUUUGGCCAUUAAUCAAAGG